AACUUUGUAGUUAUUUUUUAGUAAGAAAUUUAUUUAAUUAUUUUCAUUUUUUUUAGUAUUAUUAAGAACUAAUAAUAGGAUUUAACUGUGAGGUUUAAUUUUAAAGUUUAUGGUUUUUUGUUAUUACCUUUUGUAUCAGGGUAAAUUAAAUAAUUUAAUUAUUUUACUUUCCCGAAUGAAAAAGGCCAACUAAAUUAAUUAUUUACUUGUUUCAAUAAGUUUUAAAAUAUUUUAGUAGUAAUUAUACGUUAAUCGCUUUUUGUUUAUCUGGUUAUUGAGGAUUUAAUUCAAUUAAUUAUUAUUUUAUAAAUUUAGUAUUAAUUUUUAUAAUAAAAUGUUAUUAGGGAUAAUCUUAAUAAUGUAUAUUACAGUUUGUGUUAUUAUAGAAGUUUAUUUUCUUUAAAAUUUUGAAUUAAGUUUUUAUUAAAUUAGUUUUAUUUAUUAAUAUUUUGUUAAACUUACUUUUUUACUCAAUUAAUCUAUUUAAUUUCUAUAUUUAUUUGAUAAUGAUUUAAUUAGUAUAAUUUUUAAUUUGUGUAUAAUGAAUUCGACAAAGUUUAUUUCCAACUGUUUAACAAAAACAUUUCUUUUUGAUUAUUUAUAAAAAGUAUAUUCUGCCCUAUGAUUUUUUUAAAUGGCUGCAGUAUUUUGACUGUGCAAAGGUAGCAUAGUAAUUAGUUUCUUAAUUAGAAGCUUGUAUGAAUGGAUGAAUGAGAUAUAUAUUUUAUUAAUUAAAUUUUUAUAAUUUAAAUUUUAAGUUAAAAUUCUUAAGUACUUUCUUGGGACGAUAAGACCCUAUAGAACUUUAUUAUCAUUGAUUUAGUUAAUUUUUGUAUAAUAUAUCUUACUAAGUUUCGGAUUGUUUUGCUGGGGUGGUGUGUAAAUUUUAACUUUACAUUUUUUUGUCAUUAAUUUAUGUAUAUUUUGAUCUUAUUGGAUUACAAGAUAAAGUUACCUUAGGGAUAACAGCGUAAUUUUAAUGGGGAGUUCAUAUCUAUAUUAAUUUUGCGACCUCGAUGUUGAAUUAAGGAAAGAUUAAGGAGCAGAAGUCUUAAGUCUGAGUCUGUUCGACUUUUAAAUCCUUACAUGAUUUGAGUUCAAACCGGCGUGAGCCAGGUUGGUUUCUAUCUUAGAAUUUAAUAGAUUUAAUUAGUACGAAAGGACCAUUAAUUUUCACUUAGGUGAUAUUUAUUUUAAU
RNAcentral lists this ribosomal RNA (1198 nucleotides) under Leofa pulchella. RNAcentral's name for it is "16S ribosomal RNA". The record is from RNAcentral. Lineage: Eukaryota; Metazoa; Arthropoda; Insecta; Hemiptera; Cicadellidae.